RNAcentral lists this ribosomal RNA (742 nucleotides) under Pythium torulosum. RNAcentral's name for it is "LSU rRNA". It matches the Rfam family "Eukaryotic large subunit ribosomal RNA", at positions 62 to 648 of the family's 3401-position model. The record is from RNAcentral. Lineage: Eukaryota; Oomycota; Peronosporomycetes; Pythiales; Pythiaceae.
AAACUAACAAGGAUUCCCCUAGUAACGGCGAGUGAAGCGGGAUGAGCUCAAGCUUAAAAUCUCUGUGCCAGUUUGGCAUGGCGAAUUGUAGUCUAUGGAGGCGCUGUCAGUGCGAUUGUUCGGGGUAAGUUCCUUGGAAGAGGACAGCAUCGAGGGUGAUACUCCCGUAUGUACCUGUUCAGUCGCGCGUACGACACGUUUUCUUCGAGUCGCGUUGUUUGGGAAUGCAGCGCAAAGUAGGUGGUAAAUUCCAUCUAAAGCUAAAUAUUGGUGCGAGACCGAUAGCGAACAAGUACCGUGAGGGAAAGAUGAAAAGAACUUUGAAAAGAGAGUUAAAGAGUACCUGAAACUGCUGAAAGGGAACCGAAUCGUUUCCAGUGUCUAUAAUCCAUGGUAUAUUUCAUUGGCGYGUGAGUGCGUGCAGCGUUUUGGAAGCGGUCUCCGCUCCUGUCGUUGUUGUGCAUUUGCUUGCUGGUGCCCUGUGCUGUGGUGGGACGUCAGAGUCAGUUUGUAUGUUGCGGGAAAUGGUUAUCAGGGAGGUAGGUCGCUUCGGUGGCUGUUAUAUCCUGGUAACUAGUCGUCGUGGCUGAGACUGAGGUGCCUACAACGCGCUUUCGAGUCUGCGGGCUUCUCGUGUGGCUGUUUGCUUUGAUAGCUUGCUAUGUUGGUGAAUAAGUCGUGCGAUUGAGACCUGUAGUAACUUGUUGCCGUUCGGGACUUUGACGAAAUGGAGCGAUCCGAC